Molecule: ribosomal RNA, 460 nt
Filed under: uncultured bacterium
Lineage: Bacteria
Description: partial 16S ribosomal RNA
Rfam family: Bacterial small subunit ribosomal RNA
Source: RNAcentral
CCUACGGGAGGCUGCAGUGAGGAAUAUUGGUCAAUGGGCGCUAGCCUGAACCAGCCAAGUCGCGUGAAGGAUGACUGCCCUAUGGGUUGUAAACUUCUUUUAUAUGGGAAUAAAGUGCAGUAUGUAUACUGCUUUGCAUGUACCUUAUGAAUAAGGAUCGGCUAACUCCGUGCCAGCAGCGGCGGUAAUACGGAGGAUCCGAGCGUUAUCCGGAUUUAUUGGGUUUAAAGGGAGCGUAGAUGGGUUGUUAAGUCAGUUGUGAAAGUUUGCGGCUCAACCGUAAAAUUGCAAUUGAUACUGGCAGCCUUGAGUACAGUUGAGGUAGGCGGAAUUCGUGGUGUAGCGGUGAAAUGCUUAGAUAUCACGAAGAACUCCGAUUGCGAAGGCAGCUUACUAGACUGCCACUGACAUUGAUGCUCGAAAGUGUGGGUAGCAAACAGGAUUAGAUACCCGAGUAGUC